This is a small nucleolar RNA of Cyprinodon variegatus (sheepshead minnow), 138 nucleotides long. The record is from Ensembl. Lineage: Eukaryota; Metazoa; Chordata; Actinopteri; Cyprinodontiformes; Cyprinodontidae.
ACCCCCAUUUUAGUACCUUCCACUCACUGUUUAAUGAAUGGAGGGCUAUGCUAAUGGGGUAGAGAAACACUGUCGUGAUCUGAAGGUGUGGCUAGCUGCUUGUGCACCCCACCGAAUAAACUGACAGAACAAUUACAU